GAUGAACGCUGGCGGCGUGCCUAAUACAUGCAAGUCGAGCGAACGGACGAGAAGCUUGCUUCUCUGAUGUUAGCGGCGGACGGGUGAGUAACACGUGGAUAACCUACCUAUAAGACUGGGAUAACUUCGGGAAACCGGAGCUAAUACCGGAUGAUAUUUUGAACCGCAUGGUUCAAAAGUGAAAGACGGUCUUGCUGUCACUUAUAGAUGGAUCCGCGCUGCAUUAGCUAGUUGGUAAGGUAACGGCUUACCAAGGCAACGAUGCAUAGCCGACCUGAGAGGGUGAUCGGCCACACUGGAACUGAGACACGGUCCAGACUCCUACGGGAGGCAGCAGUAGGGAAUCUUCCGCAAUGGGCGAAAGCCUGACGGAGCAACGCCGCGUGAGUGAUGAAGGUCUUCGGAUCGUAAAACUCUGUUAAUAGGGAAGAACAUAUGUGUAAGUAACUGUGCACAUCUUGACGGUACCUAAUCAGAAAGCCACGGCUAACUACGUG
Molecule: ribosomal RNA, 497 nt
Filed under: uncultured bacterium
Lineage: Bacteria
Description: partial 16S ribosomal RNA
Rfam family: Bacterial small subunit ribosomal RNA
Source: RNAcentral